Molecule: ribosomal RNA, 346 nt
Filed under: uncultured bacterium
Lineage: Bacteria
Description: partial 16S ribosomal RNA
Rfam family: Bacterial small subunit ribosomal RNA
Source: RNAcentral
CCUACGGGUGGCAGCAGUGAGGAAUAUUGGGCAAUGGCCGGAAGGCUGAACCAGCCAAGUAGCGUGAGGGAAGACUGCCCUGUGGGUUGUAAACCUCUUUUAUGCGGGGAUAAAGGGGGCCACGUGUGGAUGUUUGCAGGUACCGCAUGAAUAAGGACCGGCUAAUUCCGUGCCAGCAGCCGCGGUAAUACGGAAGGUCCGGGCGUGAUCCGGAGUUAUUGGGUUUAAAGGGAGCGUAGGCCGGUCUUUAAGCGUGCCGUGAAAUUUUGUGGCUCACCCAUGAGAGUGCGGCGCGAACUGGAGACCUUGUGUGCGCUGCCGGCAGGCGGACUUCGUGGUGUAGCGG